CAGCGCACGACCGCAGCUUCAGUUACACUGCGCAUGCGUUAUAGCCCCGAAGUCCUAGCCUCCUUCAAUAGGCCUUGAUGGAAAACCGGAAAACCAGUGAAGAGGUGAGCUAACUAGACGAUGAUGCUGAUACUCCUCACUGAAGUGGAUUGUAGUCAACGGCACAUUAAACAUGUCGCUCUCAAUCGUCCAGAUUUGCUGUAAAACGAAACCAAGGUUUCCACAACUGACAUUUGAGGCUGCAACUCAGCACAGGAUGCAUUGAAGGCCUGACCUGACUCAUCAUGGAGGAGCUCCAGCCUGAAAGUCACCAUGUGGCAGCAGAGAGAUGCCCUGUCGGAAGAUGGGAUUGUUGAUGCUUAACGUGGCCAUGAGUAGAAAAACAUGCAGAGCAUUUGUCAAAAUCUGUCAUGCUGCUGACCAUCACACACUGGCCCAAAGAAACAUGGUUGCUACGACUGACCUCCAGACUGUGAAGGCCUGAGGAUGUCAUACACACGCUGCUGACCAUCACACACUGGCCCAAAGAAACAUGGUUGCUACGACUGACCUCCAGACUGUGAAGGCCCGCGGAUGCUGCUCUGUGGUGGAUACAGUCAGACACCAUGCAAAAGCCUCGUCUCAUUCCUGCUUAAUGACUGGAGCAACGAGUGACUGCAUAUGAAGCAGGAACAUGAGAAAAAUAGUCAAUUCCUUCACACGUGCUCCACAUGGGAAAGCGGUGUCUUGUGCUAAAAGCUAGCACCACCUGCCCUUGGAUGAUGAUGAUAAUAAUGUACUUUAUUUAUCCCCUUUUUUUCUUCUUGAUUUACACACAAAUGUGGAAAGAUGAAUGAUUUAUACUUAAAGAUGUACCUCACUCUUCUGCUGUAAUAAACUUGUAACUAAUCAGAA
Sebastes umbrosus (honeycomb rockfish) is the source of this 894-nucleotide long non-coding RNA. RefSeq lists it as uncharacterized. The record is from RefSeq and is a predicted model, not a curated record. NCBI's taxonomy places the organism in Eukaryota, Metazoa, Chordata, Actinopteri, Perciformes, Sebastidae. The transcript is spliced from 8 exons.